UCUGACCGUUGAAAGGUAGCGUAAUCACUUGUUCUUUAAAUGAGGACUAGUAUGAACGGCAUCACGAGGGUUACACUGUCUCCCCACUUUAAUCAGUGAAACUAAUCUCCCCGUGAAGAAGCGGGGAUAAAUAUAUAAGACGAGAAGACCCCAUGGAGCUUUAAACUCAGUACCACCUGCCACUACUAAAACAUAUAAACCACGCAGUAUUGUCUACUAGUUUUCGGUUGGGGUGACCACGGAGUAAAACAAAUCCUCCACAACGAAAGGAACUAAUAACCUAAUCUAAGAGCCACACCUCUAAGAAUCAAUAAAUUGACUAAACUGAUCCAAUUAUUUGAUCAAUGAACCAAGUUACCCUGGGGAUAACAGCGCAAUCCAUUUCAAGAGCCCAUAUCGACAAAUGGGUUUACGACCUCGAUGUUGGAUCAGGGUAUCCAAGUGGCGCAGCCGCUACUAAAGGUUCGUUUGUUCAACGAUUAAAACCUUACGUGAUCUGAGUCAGUCCGGGAGAAG
Molecule: ribosomal RNA, 516 nt
Filed under: Microhyla superciliaris
Lineage: Eukaryota; Metazoa; Chordata; Amphibia; Anura; Microhylidae
Description: partial 16S rRNA
Rfam family: Bacterial large subunit ribosomal RNA
Source: RNAcentral